RNAcentral lists this unclassified non-coding RNA (338 nucleotides) under uncultured fungus. RNAcentral's name for it is "partial contains 5.8S ribosomal RNA and internal transcribed spacer 2". The stretch from base 1 to 133 matches the Rfam family "5.8S ribosomal RNA", at positions 22 to 154 of the family's 154-position model. The record is from RNAcentral. Lineage: Eukaryota; Fungi.
UGGUUCUGGCAUCGAUGAAGAACGCAGCGAAAUGCGAUAAGUAAUGUGAAUUGCAGAAUUCAGUGAAUCAUCGAAUCUUUGAACGCACAUUGCGCCCGCCAGUAUUCUGGCGGGCAUGCCUGUUCGAGCGUCAUUUCAACCCUCAAGCCCCGCUUGGUGUUGGGGAUCGGCGUGCCCCGCAGCGGGCCGCCGUCCCCGAAAUGAAUUGGCGGUCUCGUCGCAGCCUUCCUUUGCGUAGUAGCAUACCACCUCGCAACCAGGAGCGCGGCGCGGCCACUGCCGUAAAACGCCCCAACUUCUCAAGAGUUGACCUCGAAUCAGGUAGGAAUACCCGCUGA